GACGUUCGAAGCCGGUGGGGAGAUAUUUGCUCACAAGACAAACGUGUGUGCCUCAGUGACAGAGACCUGAUCUAUCUCCUGGACACGAGGAGAGAGCAAAGGUCAACCAGAAACUGGAGGAGGCUGUUUCCAUCUGUACUUUCUACCUGUGCUGAAAGUGGCUUGAAAGAGCACCAAAACUGGUCCCUCACACCGGUGGAGCAACUGGCUGUUGCUAUGGAGAGAAGCUUUCUACGUAAAACAUCAUCUUUUUCCGAGUUGAACAUUCCAAAAAUUCCUGCUGGCCCAGCCACUGGAGGUGAGGGUGUUUCUGAAAACUUGCACAACAGGCGUGGUAAGGAAGUGAAAUUUCUUUUUGUGCCAUUAGGAAAAGGUUAAAGGGAUGUAAUCCAUAAAAUUAUUUCAAUCAGGAUUGAUAUAAUAUUUUUUACAUGGUGUCAGAAGUCAGUGGAUAACGUGUCACAAGUAUCAGAAUGCCUCAUUUCAAGCCUCCUGAGCCGUUUGAUUUUUCGAAACCUCACGAGUGGCCCGAGUGGCGACAGCGUAUGCUACGAUACCGCACAGCCACCAAACUGAGCGCAGAGAC
Aplysia californica (California sea hare) is the source of this 586-nucleotide long non-coding RNA. RefSeq lists it as uncharacterized. The record is from RefSeq and is a predicted model, not a curated record. The transcript is spliced from 4 exons. Lineage: Eukaryota; Metazoa; Mollusca; Gastropoda; Aplysiida; Aplysiidae.